NNCCAGCUGACGAGUCCCAAAUAUGACGAAAUGCACAUCCUGGAU
RNAcentral lists this non-coding RNA (45 nucleotides) under Trichobilharzia regenti. Lineage: Eukaryota; Metazoa; Platyhelminthes; Trematoda; Strigeidida; Schistosomatidae. The record is from RNAcentral.